Long non-coding RNA from Cervus elaphus (red deer), 1210 nucleotides. RefSeq lists it as uncharacterized. Lineage: Eukaryota; Metazoa; Chordata; Mammalia; Artiodactyla; Cervidae. The transcript has 2 exons. The record is from RefSeq and is a predicted model, not a curated record.
GAUCUCCCUUUAGUCCAAAACUACAUGUUUUUUUGUUUGUUUGUUUUUCAGCAGAAACUCCUGUAUAUCCAGGCUCCUCCCUUACCUCUUGGAACAGUUCCCCAGAGCUAUCUGAGAGGCUGCCUUCCCAGGCUGUAGUCCUCAGUAAGUUGCGUGUUUUUUUCCCAGGGGUCAGUAUGAAUAGCUGCUUGAUGUAAGUCAUCACAGAAAUGCAGUUUUUAAAAAAUGUUGCCGUUUUAGAGGCUAUAUGAUUGGUAAGAAACUGAAAAGAUCAAUCCUGAUAACAAAGAUGUGGGGACAUGGCAGUCUGGAGUGAAAACACAUAUCACAAUUUGCAAUUGAGUAAGUAAUGAAAAAUUAGAAAUUUUUAAUUUUUAAAAAUUAGAAAAAUUAAAAAUUUCCAGCCUUGCCACAUGCCCCUUCCAUGCUUCUUGUUGCCCUUGGACUAGCAGCUGGUCCUGCCCAUCCCAUCGCUUUACCUCUGCUACAGCCACAGUGACUUCUCAGUUCCUAAACUUGGCCACCUCAUUAACCAACAGUUUUUGGGUAAGACCGUGGAUUCCUCAAUACGGCUAACCAUCAUUUCAAACACCCCUGUUACUGGCCCCAUUUUACAGAUGGGGAAACAGGCACAGAAAGCUAACAGAUAGUGGAAGAAGUACCAGAGCCCAUGCCUAACCCCGAGCUAUCCUUUUCAGCUCCCUGCUCCAAAACGCUAACCUUCCCCCCACCCCAGGGCCAUCCACAGUGUGCCUUUCUCAGAGAAGCCUUCGUACUCCCUCCACCUCCCACCACAGCUGAGAGGGGCUACCUUCCAUGUAGUCCUACAGCACUGAGCAUCACCUUCACAGCUUGAUUUCUCCAAAUGAACGUAAUCAUGUGCAAUGUAGUACAAGGCUUAAGUCUCCUCCCACCUCUCCAUCUCCCACCCCCACCAAAGGAAUGAGAGCUCUAUCUUGUUCACCCAUGCCUAGUGUGUCCAGGCUGGCAAACGGUGAUGCUCAUUUAUAUUUAUAAAAUAAAAUGUAGAAGAACAUCUCUAGUGCUUAGAGAUGUGUACUAAAGAAUUCAGCAGUAAAAUGUUGUAAUGGUUGUAAUUUACUUUUAAAUACUUAAAUGGAAGCAAGAUGAAGCAGGUAUGAUCAAUUUCAUUUGUAUGCUGCUUUAUAUACUUCCAAAUAAAUGACAAGCCAGUUUGCUUUUGUCUGCA